Molecule: long non-coding RNA, 3393 nt
Organism: Homo sapiens (human)
Lineage: Eukaryota; Metazoa; Chordata; Mammalia; Primates; Hominidae
Exons: 4
Source: RefSeq, a predicted model, not a curated record
GUGGCUCUUACAGUCUCAGCCAUGGUUGCAUACCUUCCAAGCUCCACCGCCUCUUCUUCCUCGUGGGCAGAUCCCUGAUUUUGUGUAGGACAGCACUUGAAAUGUAUUUGUGUGCUCAACAUUGGUUUCCUCUCUGGAACCUGGGAUCACUUCAGGGGUGGACACGUGGCCCAACCAUGACUGAUGAGACAUGCGGGGAAAUCUGCAGAGGCAACUUCUAGGAAAGGUUGGGCUCUUGCAGCCACCCUGUGACUAUGAGGACUAUGAAGGGCUGAAGAUUUACUCUACUUGAGAACGAACCAGGUUUUUGUAAGCUCCAGACAUUGGAUAAAGCAUUUUGAGGGAUAGGUGAAAACGAAAUCCUGCCCUUUACUCUUGAGAACUCACUCUGCUGUGGGAGGAGAGACAGGCAGGUAUAUCAAAGGGAAAAAUAGUAACAGUUCUGGUGGAGAGACCUGGUGAGCAACACCUUAAACCAAGUGAUGAAAGCUGAAAUCAGCAACACUGGGAUGAACCUGCAUCACGUAAUAGCGGAUGUGAUGCCCUGACAAGAGCACCAGUCCUGUUUGCAGCAUCACUGCCCCAGAUGCAUGCCUGAAUCUGUUCCUUAGGAUACAUCAGGAAACCCAAGCUGAGGAAUGUUCUACUAAAUAAAUGAUCUCUACUCUUCAAAAACAUGCGGGUCAAGUGACAGGUGCCGAGGAGAGGGAGAGGGUCUAGGAAGACCCUAGUUGGGACAAUUGGCAGCAUUCAAAUGUGGCCUGUGCAUUUCAUACUGGUACUGUUCAAUGUGAAAUUUCUUGAUUUUUGUAAGAUUCUCCCUGGGGCCUGAUAGCUUAAAGGGAUGAGUAACUCCUCCCUUCUCAGGCCCAGUCCCAAGGUGCAAGACCACUUGCAUCAGCAGCCUGUGCCAGCAAGAUAGCAGAAGCAGGAAGAGAGCCGGCCAGAAGACACGUACCCCUGAAGAUUGAGAAACAGGCCAUCCGGGUACAACGUAGCAAUUACGUCAGACUAGGACACUUCCUGUUUAAAGGAGACUAUAAAACCUUUGUCCUGUCCUCACUUGGGGCUGACGCCAUUUUAGGCCUCAGCCCGCCUGCACCCAGGCGCUCAUUAAAACAGCAUGUUGCUCCACAUCGCCUCGUGUUGUCUGUUGGCACGCUCUCGGGAUUCGAACCGAUACAAGAACCUUACAAUUUUCUUUAUGUAAGAGAAUGUCCUUGUUCUUAAGAAAAGCCAGCUGAAAUAUUUAGAGAGUAAGUUUGCAGGAUGUCUAUAACUUACUGUCAAGUGUUUUAGACAGGAAGAGAAUCACAUAAUGGAAAAUGUAAACAAGUGAAUGUGAGAAAGGAGUACAUGAAAGUCUUUGAACUAUUGUUACAACUUUUCUGUGGAAAUUUACUUUUCAAAAGUGCGUAUAGACAUAUAGGAAGAACAAUUUUAGUAACUAACAUAGUUAUUUUUUAGUAGUGAGAUGAUGGGUAGUAUUUCUUUUAAAAAGAUCUGCUUUUCCCCAAAUAUUCUGUAACAAGCAUGAACUAUACUUGAAAUCAGAAAAAAAAUGAAAUGAUAAAGACAAUUGUUUCUUUUCAUACAUACUGCAAUGUAGCACAUGAAACUGAGAUCGGAGAGACCAAAAUAGAUGCCCUUUAUCAACUAAGGUGGACUUUAAGGUUAAGAAAACAGAAAAGUUUUCUUCUCUGGUGGAGCAACUCCUUAAAUUCCUAGGGCUACAAGAAAAGCACACCCUUGCUAAACUCCCUAACAAUAAGAGCUAUCAGGCAAAUUCCUACCUCCGAUUUACAACCCAGACCACCACAACUCUGAUUGGACAGAGGACCUUAGAAACAUUCUUUUCUGAUAAGCAACUGAAGACGUCAAAUCAGUUCCAGCAGCUUACAGAGACUGGGCACACAUUGUGUUUGUCUCCUACAGUUCACUUUUUGAUGGAAAAAGCCACAUUCUACCUUAUUUUUAUGCUGAAACCCCACCCCAAAGGGAGCACGGAAUGCAUGGUAAUACAUCUGUGCCUAUUGUGCGUGUGCUCACCUCCCCUCUCCACAUGCAUAGCUUUCCCCCAAACCUACUGAGUACAUGUAACUCUAUCGUGUGAUACAGGCCCUGUGAGACAUAAAAUCCAUUCUGCCCCUUCCCUCUUCAAAGAGAGAGCGCCAAUGUCAUAUGCUGGAGACAGUCUCUUCCUGGUUUGCAAACUUAUAUUGCCAGUGUAACUGAAAUAAAUCCAUGAACGAGGCACAGGGCUAGUCAAUCCGCCAAGACACCAAUUCACAAAGAGAAGGAGAUUGAAUCCUAGGACCCUGAUCUAGAAGAUGGGAAGGAACCUUAAAUCCAUCUCUCCAAGUGUACAAUUCUCUCUGGGGCCUGAAAGCUUAAGGAGAUGAAUGACUCCUCCCUUCUCAGGCCCAGUCCCAGGGCGCAAGGCCACUUGUGUCAGCAGCGUGCAUCAGCAAGUCAGCAGAAGCAGGAAGAGAGCCGGCCAGAAGACACCUACCCUGGCCGGAAGACAGGUACCCCUGAAGAUCGAGAAAGAGGCCGUCUGUGUACAAUGUAGCAGUUACAUUAUACUAGGACACUUCCUGUUUACAGGAGACUGUAAAACCUAUGCCCCGUCCUCACUUGGGGCUGACUCCAUUUUAGGCCUCAGCCUGCCUGCACGCAGGCACUCAUUAGAACAGCAUAUUGCUCCACACUGCCUCCUGUUGUCUGUUGGCGUGCUCUGGGGGUUUGAACCGAUACAAGAACCUUACACCGAGGAGUUUGGUAUAAGGGAUGUUAACGGUUUUGGAGUGGGCUGAAGUGUGGGGACGGUUGGUUGGUUGAAAAGUGCAGGGUGAAGUCAUGGGAUGGGGAAGUGGUGAAACUGUUUCUCAUGCUGAUUCUGUUCUUCUAUGGGGGUCUUCAUGCUGGUGGGUGUUUAGUAGGAAUCUGGGAUCUGGAAAACACCCUAGGCAGUUCUUAAACAAAAGCCUUAUGAUUCUAACAUCAGAAAUCCUAUUCAUAGGAACAAUAGGGAUGCCAGUGGUCAGUAUCAGUGCUGCAUGACUUUCAGUUACAAGGAAGUGGGUCAAAGUGCAGGCUGAUUAAUGCUUAAUUAUAACUCUAUUUCUGUCCAGAAUUCUUGCUAACCCUGUGAGGAUGGCUUCACCAAUAAAAUACUCCUUUCUACUAUUUAGCCAUCCUAGUGGUCUUUUGAAUGAAAAAGAAAGGCUGAGAAAGAUGGAGUAGGGGCCUGCGGUCCCCCACCCCUCACCCCUCACCCCUCAUUCACUUGCUGGUGCUCCCUUCAGCUCCCUUCAGCCCCCAUCACUGGAGCUAGAUGUCCAUGAGCAUUCUGCAUUUUCUCUUCUUUCUGCUGACUAAAGAGUAUCAUGU